AUGACUUGUUUACAGCAAGGAAAAGUGCUUUAAACUUGCUUGGUGUUAUUUCAAUAUCUAAGGGACUGCCAGUCAAGACUUCUACAGCUUCAUCAAAGCGUAAGAAAGGAGAAAAGAACAAAAGAAAAGGUUACAGCUCGAUGGGGGAGUUGUUGGUGCUUCCAUUCUUGUCAAAAUUUCCUGUUCCCACUGAUAAUGGCGAAAACACAGUAAAUGAAUAUUACGGCGUUCUGAUGGCCUAUAGCAGCCUUUUAGAUUUUCUAACAGAACAGAGUCCUGGAUUUACGGAUACUCUAGUUAGGAAUCGGGUGCUACCACUGU
RNAcentral lists this unclassified non-coding RNA (321 nucleotides) under Hevea brasiliensis (rubber tree). Lineage: Eukaryota; Viridiplantae; Streptophyta; Magnoliopsida; Malpighiales; Euphorbiaceae. The record is from RNAcentral.